GACACUCCUGAGUGGCAGGAAGAAAGGGGCUAGUUGUGAAUUCAAACUAUAUUCUGACCUUCCAAGUAACCCUGAGUGUGAAAGCCAGUAAACAAAUCUACCCACUUUGCCUCGGGGUCACUUAAAAUGUGUCUUGCCAGGAAUCUGAGAUAGUUGCUAAUUUAGUUUCUGACUCCCUUCUCCCUGAACCAGUGAAGUCUGAGAAGAGACCUGAGUCCCAGAUGCCAAUGCUCUCCUGGCCUUCACCUGGUGAGGGGUACUUUGGUAUGCUUGGCAGAAAACUACUCCAUUCUGUCAAAGUUGGGUAUUACCAAAUGUCCAGGUCAGAUUGCUCAAAUGUCUGGGCAUGGUACAGGUCCCAGUCUGGGGCCUGGGCCAGGGCUGCAGGCACGUGCAGGUUUUCUGGUAAUGGCUGAAGAUAGGUCAGUGAUCUCUGGUUGGUCUGGAGAAGAUGAGUGCACAUAGCUUCACUAAGUCAGGCCAGGAAGCACUUCUUGGGCAAGGGUGAGUGAAUUAGGAAUGGCAUGGAGCUGUAGGUCAUAUUCGGUAAAUGACGAACAAUUCAAGGUGCGGAGGCACAGCGGUUAUGCAGGAGAAGCGGGAGAUGAGAUUGUUUAUGCAUUCACUCAACAUUUAUUGAAUAUUUACUGUGUGCCAGGUCCUAUGCUGGGCACUGGGUGUACAACAAACAAAAGUGGUCCUUGCCCUUAAUGGAAUGGACAGUCUAUCAGGGAGUCAGAUAGUAAGCAAACAGCUGGCGUCCAAGUUUGAAGCAUGUUCUAGUAAGGGUCUUUAUCAUGUAGGUGUUAGGAACAGAACUUCAGAGAGCUAACUCAAGUGGCCAGCUGUACAGUGGCUUAAGGGAGGGAGGGGCCAGCAGCAGGACGAAGAGUUAGAAAGCUACUGAAAAAUAGCGAGGAGGUCCUGAAUUAGACCAGUGGCUGCAAGGAAGAGUGGGAGGGUCAGACCCUCCGAAGCUUUUGCUGACAGGUUCAGGUGACUGACUGGAUGUGAUCCUGAAGUUUUAGCACAGACAACCAGGGGUAGCCUUACCCUCUGCUGGAGAAGCAAAGAGCUCAGUGUGGAAGAACAUUAAGUCCUGAAUCUUGCUCAUGGUGAAAAGCAAGGUAAGGGAUCAGGGAGAAGCAGUUUGAAUGACAGUCCCUGCUGGGAGGGAUGGGCAGGAGUUCUGCUUCCCCACAGGGGAUUGUGCAGACUGAGAGUUUGCUCUUGACCUCUCAGGCUCUAUGUGUGUUGAGGGACAGGUUGAGUUCAUGUGUGUGCGGCGGUAGAGAAAUGGGACUGGAGGCUGCCAGCUUGAAAACCUGCUGCAGUGCUGCCGUUUUCAUGCCUCGGUGCUCUUAGGCUGCCACUGCUGCCGCCGUCACGUUGCUUCCUGUGACGGGAAAUGUUGCAGCCUCUGCCCUGGGCACCAGUCAUGCUGGGAACUGAGCACGAUUGCUUUUCUCGGGUAGCAUCGGUCAAAGGGAAGGAAAAGAAGCGGCGGGAGGCCUGAGAGCAGCUCAGGAGACGCAGCAUCUGUUGAACCCUAUUCUCCAGUCAAUUUGUGGCCCCCCACCCUCUGGGGUUCAUCUAAUCAGAGAGCACAAAUACUCAGAGCGACAGGCUCGCCUCUCCCCAUCCUCUGCCACAGGGGACAGGGUAUUCAUCAGCGUGGCUUGUAGGAGGGCCACCAGAAAAUCGAAUAGCUGUGGAGUGUCAUGCAUUUAACAACUCCCCCCGUACUGUAGUUGCUCUGGGCAUUUUUUUCCCCAUCCUAAGAGCCCCACCUGCUCCAACAUCCUCUACCAACAAAAUUGCAAUUGACCUUAUUCAAACACCUCAUUGCUACCUGAGGGGGCCAACACAAAAAUAAUCACAUCUGCAGCUUUCUAGAAGGCGGCUCAUAAUCUGAGCCUAGUGCCUCAGGCCAGGAAAGGGUGGGGGACAUGUGAGUGUGCAGGGUGUGGGCAUAAGCAAGGCGGAAGAUCUUUCUAAUACCAACAUGUAGCCAUAAGGAGCUAUUAGAGGGCUCAAGGGGAGGGGGAAAGAGAACAAAGCCCUCAUAUAUUUUCUCUGAUCCCAACAAAAACAAAGGCAGCGUUCUCGGUCGGUGGCAGCCUUGGUCCUCCCCACACUGAGUCCUCCCCUGCUGGCCUGAAGCAUUGUUCCUUCACUCAGCCGGGACGCAGAGCACUACGCUGAUGAGCUGAUUUUUAUGCUUCUCUUCCUCAAGCCAAAAGCAGGUGGCAUCCGUUACAGCUGAACUGUCGCUACUUUUUAAAUGGAUGUGACAAUAAAAAAAGAGAAAGAAAAAGAAAGGAAGAAAGAAAAAAAGAGAGAAAACCACCCUAUUGCCCAGUGACAACACUUCCAGAUAAUCAGGGGAGGGCUGAAGUGGGAAGGGGGAGAAGGGGGUUGAAUAAGGAAAUCAAUUUCAGCCUGAAAGCUCUGAAAGGAGAGGGGACGUGUGAAUGGCUUUUUAAGUGGCAUCAUUAAACCUGGGCAGAAAGGUCGAUUGGGCAGAGCAAACCGCAUAAAUACAAACAGAUGACAUUUAUGUCUGGCAGAAUUGGUUUUUGUUUAGUUGUUUUGGUUUUUUUUAAUCACUGAGGUAGAAGACUCAUAAGACUUCUUUCUUUUGCCACCAAGAAUCAAAUCUAUGGAAAGGAAUGUCCAGAGAAAUAAUAUCCACAGGCAUCUUUCCCAUAUUACAGGAUAGAAUCCAACAAUAUCUUGGUUUUUUUCCCCCUCUUUUGGUGAAGGGGAGGAAUAUCUUCAGGGAGUGGGAGAGAAAGGAGUUAGUCCCAGCUUUGGAAACCCCUCAGCUACAAAAUGAGCCAAUUCCAAGACCUUGUAUCUGAAGAUGAAGAGACACAACCACAGAGACCCAAUACAUAUACUGAUAUACCACGAAGGAUUCACAUAAAAAUGCACAUACAAGUAUAACUAUUUGCACAUACACACACUUGUUUUCACAAACAAGAGAAAAUGCCCUGCAGUAGUAAGCACCACCAGAGGCUACAGCGGUUCUUGGAGCUGAUUUCUACAAUUUCCAUAUCCUGCUGGGAAUUUCAAGGUCAAGUGCCCCCGGUGGACACUUAGGAGAAACAGCUACAGACCAGGAAUGUAAUAAAGGGUAAAGGCUGUUGAAUUUAAAACCUCUCAGCCUGUGAGAAAGCCACGUUUGGUCUGGAUGAAGGCAGAAGUCACUGCUCCUUGAAGGUAAGAAGAAUUGAUCCUGUCUUAUGAGCAAGAUUAAUUCUGGAAUUCACUCCACAGCAUCUAACUAAGAGUGCGAAAACUCUUAUGUGAAAAUCUUAUUUCUAAAAUGGGAAAAACUGUCAAAAUGCUUCCCUCUCACCAGAAGAGGGCACUCUGAUAUCCCACAACAGAGCAGAAUGGGGAUGGUUGGAGGCUACAUUAAGAUCUCCUCCCCACUAGAACCCCUGAAGCUGCUUUAACUGCAGGGUAAUGCUGUGUCAGGGUCAGGUAAAAGGGAAACAAACAAGGGUAGCUGUACUUGGUCUGCUGGGAGAGUUCUUGGCAGAGGCAGAAAGAGACAGGCUGCAUGGCAUAAGCCUAUUCACCUGAUAGCUGUCCCUUCAAAGAAGGCCUUUAGCUAUUUAACAUGAUAUUCAUUUAUUUCCCACUGGAGGGAAAGGAAUAGAGUACAGAGACCUGUUGAAAGUGUGAUAUUGAGGAUGCAGCAUGGAAGGCAAAAGACCCUAGUUCAAGGUCUACGACUGUGACCUCAGGCAAGUCAUUUAUCCUCUUUGAGUCUUAAAUUUCCUCUUCACAAGGUUCUGGUGAGAAUUAAAAUGACACAAUGUAUGUGAGCACAAAUGAAAAGCAGCUAAACAAAUCUAAGAUAGGACUUAAAAAGCAUUUUAUCAGCUUCCUCACACUCACAACCAAAAAGUAAAGCUGUCUAUAGGAAAAGUGAGUGCAGGAGACAGAGGUAAGCACUUUGUGUCUCAAAGGCAUGUGAGUGGUGAGUGUAAUGCUGGUUUCGGAGGGAAGGAAAAAAAGAAGAAAAAAAAAACCCACAAGGAACCGAAUAAAGUAUGUGGCUUCCCAGGGAUAGGAUGGGGCAACCAACCUCAUCUCUCACGAGGUCAACUUUAGCACUCCUGGAAAAACACCAGUCCGGACUCUGGUCUUUUCUUGUAAUGGUGUUAUAGCUGGGGACAGAGCCAAUCCAGGAACUCUCCCACCCUUCCCAGCUCUAGAGCACAAGUCUUUCAGCAGCGUUUGCUCUUGCCAGUACCCAAGACCCUCUAAUUCUUUAUCCUCUUACCUGAGUACUGCUGUGGCAUCUGUGGUGGACUGCAGGGAGAGGGAGACUGAGGCAUCUGGUACUGCUCAGAGCCGGGAGGCUGCAGAAACCCUACAGAAGGGCUGGGGGAUGAAGAGAGUAGGGUUAAAGUGGUGGAGGGAGGAACACAGCUCCUGGCAACCAGCUGCUGCUUCCCAGGCCUCCCCUGUGGGAAGCAGAGGCAGCUUCCAGCCAUUCCAGACCAAUUUGCCAUGCAAUUUCUAAAAUCACUCAUCAGUUCAAAGUUAAUUAUAUAUAUUUGUACUUGAUCAUCUUUCAAUUAGGAAGCUGCUAAUCAGUGCUACAGAUGGAAUGUUAGUGACACAUGCUCUUCCCAACAGUGUGGAAACACCAGACAUACCCACGUGCACACGUGCACACAUGCGCACACGCGCGCGCGCGCACGCGCACACACACACACACACACACACAUUCUGAGAAACACGAAGUACCAAAAACAGACACACAGUGCUAGAGAGGGAUGGGCAAAAAAGAACUAAGGAGGUGUGUGAUUUAGGAUGUUUACAUAACAGCAGAGUUACCUAAAGAGAAGUGGGGAAAAACCCUCACAAACUCAAGAUAAGGUGGAGACAUACAUACAAAAAGUAGUGAACAUAUACACUGAGAGAAAUACACAGAAAUACAUAUAGGCCCAGACUUGACUUCUAGUCCCAGCUCUACUUCUAACUAGCUGGUUGACUUUGAGUAAGUUUCUUAACCUCCCUGGCUGGAAUUUCCUCAUUUGUAAAAGAAGGGACAAAAGGAAAACAAGAGGAGUGGAUUAAAUAUUUCUAAGGUGUCUUCUACCUCUAAAAUUCUAUCAGGUAUGACCUAUACUAAGAUAUAUAUAAAUAGAUACACCAUCUGAGAUUCAUCCAUGGAUACAGAGUUACAUAGAAAAAUUUACAUAUAUAUACUCCAAUUUGCAUCUUUUAAUUUUUUUCUUUUAUUUUGAGAGAGAGAGAGAGAAUGUGCACAUGCAGGGGAGGGGCAGAGAGAGAGGGGCAGGGGGAGAGAGCAGGCUAUGCACUGUCAGCGCACAGCCCCACUCGAGGCUUGAUCUCACGAACCAUGAAAUCCUGACCUCAGCCGAGAUCAAGAGUCAGCUGGGCUCAACCGACUGAGCCACCAAGAUGCCCCCAAAUUGCUUCUUUUAAUGAUGAGCAAUCUCUAUCGUAUAGUUCUAAAUCCCACUGAUUAGAAAAAACAAAAAAUGGGGGAGAUGAUGAAGCCUCUGUCUUUGAAGCAGGAAUUUUUUUCUGCUGAUAAGCUCUUAUUCACAUGUCAAAUCAAAAAUGAGACAAGGAGAAUGAAUUUCCUCAUAUUCUACCUGCUUUAGGGCACACUGGAAUCUCUACCCUUGCCCUUCUUUCUUAGGUCAGUGGAAAUAGCUGCUGGUCUAUGGCAGAUGGGCCCUGAUUCGCUGGGAGUCCUCACCUAGUACCGUUCUGCUGAGCCGGUGGGAUCAUGCUGUAGUACACUGGUACGCCCCCAGCUGGGAGUGCCCCUUGCACAGAUUGGCUCGCAGGGACCAGCAUGGGCUGCUGGAAAGGCGGCUGGACCACAUUCUGCGAGUCAUUACCCACUGGGACCUGGGUAGAGAUGAGAAGAGAAUGACCACUUGUACUCCUAAUGAGUUCAUCCAGACAAUGGCCAAAUAAGUCAUCACUAGACUAGGACACUAACUUCCUUCCCUACCUUUCGAGACUCCUCCUACUCACCUCAUCUGCCUAAAGAAAAUACAUACAGAGCUAUCUCCCUUUGGGCAUCUGAUGCAGAGAAAGGAGCCUGAUUUCCUUUAGAUCUUACUUUUCUGGGCCAUAUACUCAUUUGCAUGGCUGUAUAAAGACCAAACAAUUUAAGUAAAGACUCUUCUCAGAAUCUUUGGGCUUUCUCUCAGAGGAAAAACACCUACAAAUUCUAAGGGGAAAGUGAACAGUAUUUUAGUGUUGGGGUUGUCACACUGGCUAACGUGGGAGACUGUCUUCCUUUUCCUCAUCCCAAGGACUGGGUGAUCUUUCCCAGUACAGAAUGUACCCACUUGGUAAGAAGGCAGUGGAGUGUACUGAACCACCAGGCCUUGCAUCUGGCCCCCCAUGCUGCUCCUCUGGUUGCUGAGCAGGCCCUGGUUCUGUGGCUGCUGGACCCCAAUCAUGCCUUGGUAAGCCGCCUGCUGCUGGUUAGGCAUCAUGGGCUGUAAACCUAGGGACGGGCAAGACACAGAAGACAUUAGCUUAGCAUGGUCUCAACAAUGUUUAGGAGGUCACAUUCUCUCAGUAAUUUCCCUUCUCCUGUCUAUUUUACCUUUUCUUUUUCUGAAGAUCCUGGGUUCCUUCUGGGACUAAUCAUUCCUGCUGUUCUUUUUUUUUUUUAAACAAGGAAGGUACUACUCUCUUUCCCAGUCUCUGCCCUUCCCCUAUUCACUGCCUUCUUACACCAGCAGUUCCUCUUACCAGGCUGCUGGGAUGGCUGAGGCAGCUGUUGACCACGUUGGGGGCUGUAGGCCACCGGGUGAGAGAGAGGUCGAUAUUGCUGGUUGGAGUUAGGAUACUGUCCAGGGGGAUAGUAAGAAACCUGGAUCUAUGGUGAGAGGAAACAGAUAUGUGAGAGGGGCCCUUACAUUCAGCCCCAACAUCCCAACUAUGAAAUACAUCAGGGUAAAUAGCCAGAAAUCUGUAGAGAUAUUUGGACCUGUAAUUGCAGAAUUCAUAUACCAGUAUGAAACAGAACUGGAAGGAUUUAUGUUAUAGAGAAAGACGACCUUCCGACUAGAAAGACAACUCUCAAAUGCAAGGUGAGGUAAUGGAAGUGGGGAUAGGUACGUCCUCGGCUCUGUCUAAACUAGAGGAAGAAAGAAGGAUCGUAAUCGUGGACAAACUCAAUUAGUGAUUUUAGCUGGGAGCCCAUGCUGCUCACCUGUUGAGGGGGCUGCAUGUAGCCCUGGGGCGGCAGGACUUGCUGAGUAGGAGGCGCAUGGCUAGAGGGGGAAUAGUUGGACGUGGGGAGGGGCUGUCCUGUAGAAGCCAUGAUGAAGCUAGUCUGCUGAGGGUGCUGGGAGAUAAGCUGGGGCUGGAACAGAGCUGAGGACGGGUCAGCUGCUUCAGUAGAACCUUGACGGCUAAGGCUCAUUUGUCCAAAGGGGUUGCUGAGGUCAUCUGCCUGUUGAGAGAGCAAGGGAGACUCAAGGACUGAGGUCAUAUCAAGCCCCAAAUCUUUGGCGUCAACACAAAAACAGACAGACAGACAGCUAUAGCAACCCCCUCUAUAGCCUUCCUUCCUUACACCAAUUUGGGACACUUCUGCCUCCAUGCCCUAGGAGGCGCUUUUUAGCCCUAAGCUUCUGUCAUGUGGUGUUUUAAAUUGCUAUGAACUGGGGGUGCCCGGCUGGCCCAGUCGGUGAAACGUGCAACUUCUGAUCUUGGGGUUGUGAGCUCAAGCCCAACACAGGGUGGAGAGAUUACUUAAAAAUAAAAUCUUAAAAAAAAUUGCUAUGAACUGAACAGCUGUGUAAAGCCCAACUCCAGAACCGGACUCCUUACCACAUAACAAUGGCCACGGUGACUCUGAUCUUUAUUAGAAUUGGUCCUAGAGAGAUGGGAGCAACAAUACAACUUUCUAUAUAUAUAUAUAUA
Long non-coding RNA from Acinonyx jubatus (cheetah), 7950 nucleotides. RefSeq lists it as uncharacterized. The transcript has 2 exons. Lineage: Eukaryota; Metazoa; Chordata; Mammalia; Carnivora; Felidae. The record is from RefSeq and is a predicted model, not a curated record.